Molecule: ribosomal RNA, 377 nt
Filed under: uncultured bacterium
Lineage: Bacteria
Description: bacterial SSU rRNA
Rfam family: Bacterial small subunit ribosomal RNA
Source: RNAcentral
UAAUACGUAGGGGGCAAGCGUUGUCCGGAUUUAUUGGGCGUAAAGCGCACGCAGGCGGUCUGCUCAGUUUCCAGUGACAGGUGGUGGCUUAACUGCCACAGGCCUGGAAAGACGGGCAGACUUGAGGACUUGAGAGGGACGCGGAAUUCCAGGUGGAGCGGUGAAAUGCGUAGAGAUCUGGAAGAACACCAAAGGCGAAGGCAGCGUCCUGGCAAGUAACUGACGCUCUUGUGCGAAAGCUAGGGGAGCGAACGGGAUUAGAUACCCCGGUAGUCCUAGCCGUAAACGAUGACCACUAGACGUGGGAGGUAUCGACCCCUUCCGUGUCGAAGCUAACGCAUGAAGUGGUCCGCCUGGGGAGUACGGUCGCAAGAUUA